GCUCGCGGGGGCGGCGGGGCCGGGUCCGCCGCCGGGGGCGGCGACCGGUCCGGGUCCCGGUCCGGGUCCGGGUCCGAGGCCGGGGGCGGGUCC
Molecule: transfer RNA, 93 nt
Filed under: Streptomyces fradiae
Lineage: Bacteria; Bacillati; Actinomycetota; Actinomycetes; Kitasatosporales; Streptomycetaceae
Description: tRNA-Pro
Source: RNAcentral